RNAcentral lists this ribosomal RNA (327 nucleotides) under uncultured eukaryote. RNAcentral's name for it is "partial 18S ribosomal RNA". It matches the Rfam family "Eukaryotic small subunit ribosomal RNA", at positions 1470 to 1796 of the family's 1831-position model. The record is from RNAcentral.
CCCUUAGAUGUUCUGGGCCGCACGCGCGCUACACUGACGAAUGCAACGAGCUUAUAACCUUGGCCGAAAGGUCUGGGUAAUCUCCAAAUUUCGUCGUGAUGGGGAUAGAUUAUUGCAAUUAUUAAUCUUCAACGAGGAAUGCCUAGUAAGCGCAAGUCAUCAGCUUGCGUUGAUUACGUCCCUGCCCUUUGUACACACCGCCCGUCGCUCCUACCGAUUGAAUGGUCCGGUGAAGCGUUCGGACCGUGGCCUUUGGACGGUUCGCCGUCUGUUGGCUGCGGGAAGUUCGUUAAACCUUNUNAUUUAUNGGAAGGAGAANUCGUANCA